UACGUAGGGGGCAAGCGUUGUCCGGAUUUAUUGGGCGUAAAGAGCUCGUAGGUGGUUCGGUAAGUCGGAUGUGAAAUCUCCAGGCUCAACCUGGAGGGGUCAUUCGAUACUGCCGUGCUUGAGGACUGGAGAGGAGACUGGAAUUUACGGUGUAGCGGUGAAAUGCGUAGAUAUCGUAAGGAAGACCAGUGGCGAAGGCGG
RNAcentral lists this ribosomal RNA (201 nucleotides) under uncultured bacterium. RNAcentral describes it as "partial 16S ribosomal RNA". It matches the Rfam family "Bacterial small subunit ribosomal RNA", at positions 524 to 724 of the family's 1533-position model. The record is from RNAcentral.